UGGGGAAUAUUGGACAAUGGGCGCAAGCCUGAUUCAGCCAUGCCGCGUGAGUGACGAAGGUCUUCGGAUUGUAAAGCUCUUUUGGCGGGGACGAUAAUGACGGUACCCGCAGAAUAAGCCCCGGCUAACUUCGUGCCAGCAGCCGCGGUAAUACGAAGGGGGCUAGCGUUGUUCGGAAUUAUUGGGCGUAAAGCGCACGUAGGCGGACUGAUAAGUCAGGGGUGAAAUCCCGGGGCUCAACCUCGGAACUGCCUUUGAUACUGUUAGUCUCGAGUCCGGAAGAGGUGAGUGGAAUUCCUAGUGUAGAGGUGAAAUUCGUAGAUAUUAGGAAGAACACCAGUGGCGAAGGCGGCUCACUGGUCCGGUACUGACGCUGAGGUGCGAAAGCGUGGGGAGCAAACAGGAUUAGAUACCCCCGUAGUCCCUGAGCGGGCUGGCAAGGCGCAU
Molecule: ribosomal RNA, 447 nt
Filed under: uncultured bacterium
Lineage: Bacteria
Description: bacterial SSU rRNA
Rfam family: Bacterial small subunit ribosomal RNA
Source: RNAcentral